Molecule: ribosomal RNA, 305 nt
Filed under: uncultured bacterium
Lineage: Bacteria
Description: partial 16S ribosomal RNA
Rfam family: Bacterial small subunit ribosomal RNA
Source: RNAcentral
ACAGCAGUAGCCGCGGUAAUACGAAGGGGGCUAGCGUUGCUCGGAAUUACUGGGCGUAAAGGGAGCGUAGGCGGACAUUUAAGUCAGGGGUGAAAUCCCAGAGCUCAACUCUGGAACUGCCUUUGAUACUGGGUGUCUUGAGUGUGAUAGAGGUAUGUGGAGCUCCGAGUGUAGAGGUGAAAUUCGUAGAUAUUCGGAAGAACACCAGUGGCGAAGGCGACAUACUGGAUCAUUACUGACGCUGAGGCUCGAAAGCGUGGGGAGCAAACAGGAUUAGAUACCCGUGUAGUCCCUGUCUCUUAGAA